Molecule: non-coding RNA, 122 nt
Organism: Myotis brandtii (Brandt's bat)
Lineage: Eukaryota; Metazoa; Chordata; Mammalia; Chiroptera; Vespertilionidae
Source: Rfam
AAUAUAAUACUGGGUCACUGUGGCAGUCUCCCUUCCUAGCCAUGGAAGAGCAUUUUCUUGUUUAUUGGCAAAGCUGUCACCAUUUAAUUGGUAUCAGAUUCUGACUUGCACAAGUGACAUUC